CAUUUGAUUAAAGUCACCAGACUUCCAGCUGUACCCUUGAUGUUUAUAGGAAAUAUCUCAGAAAUUACAACCCAUGGUAAUCCUAGCAUGCCGACAGAUAUAGCCACGCUAUAGCCCAAUAUACCAAUAUAGACCAAAAUGGGAGGGAGUGAUCCCUGUCAACUUGUGAAGGUCCUGCAAGCAGAAUGCUAUUCCUAUGAGAAAGCAACUUAAGCACAUGCCAAAGGCAGAAACCAUGAGAAGUGGCCUCCUUCCACAUUUAUCUGUUAAGAGAACAGAAACAGCAGCAGCUGGAGUCUGGAUAAUAGCAAUUGAUAUUAGCCCAACAUUACUGGAGAAAUCAGCUUUUUCAAAAAUGGAGCUAGCAUAAUAUGCAAUUGCAUUGAUCCCUCCAAACUGUUGAAAUAGAAGUAUCCCAAUACUGACAAUAAGAAUAUAAGCAUAUCUCCACUGGAAUAAUUCUAGUAUUCUAGUUUCAGAAUGCCCCUGAAAAUUCUUGGUAUAGUCUCUAAUAUCAGCUGCUUCCUGAGAAAUAUCAGCAUUCUUUCCCCUGAGGUGCUGCAGAGUCACUUCUAACUCUUUUUCGUGACCAACUUUUGCCAACCAUCUAGGAGACUCUGGGAUGAAGAAAACACCUAUAGUUUGCAAUGCACAUGGAAAAGCCCCAAUCAGAGCCAAGGUGCGCCAGGAAACAACAGUUCCAAUGAAAUAUAUUAGUGAAAGUCCACAACCUGCCAUGAACUGACUAGCAGAUGUAAGUCCCCCACGAAUGUUUUUAGGUGUUAUUUCUGCAAUGUACACUGGUACCACAAAAAGUGUAAUCCCAUGUCCGAUCCCUAUUAAAAGUCUUCCAAGAUCCAGCAACCAGGCACCCUGUGCAAAUGCUAUUGCAAGCCACCCAAUGAUGAAGAAAAAUUCAGACACCCACAUUGUAUAUCUUCGACCAAUGAGAUCAGCCAUCGUUCCAUUUAUUAAUGAACCUAGCAUUCCUCCAAUUGUAACAACAGAACCAAAGAUGGAGUAAGCGGCCACAGACAUGCCCAGGUCUUCCAUGAUUCCGGACCGAGCAGGUGAUGAAUACCCUGUAGAACACCCAACAGCAAAGGAACCACAGAUGGCGACUAUGGUGCUGAGAACCACAGGAGGAGUGGCCAAAGAAUCGCUGGAUGGGGGGAGGUCGUGAAUGCCAUGAGCAUUGGGCUGAGAUCUUGGAUGUAGCAGUAGC
Molecule: unclassified non-coding RNA, 1225 nt
Filed under: Hevea brasiliensis (rubber tree)
Lineage: Eukaryota; Viridiplantae; Streptophyta; Magnoliopsida; Malpighiales; Euphorbiaceae
Source: RNAcentral